UACGGAGGAGGCAAGCGUUAUCCGGAAUUAUUGGGCGUAAAGCGUCCGUAGGUGGUUCACCAAGUCUGCUGUCAAAGGGUGGGGCUUAACCUCAUAAAGGCAGUGGAAACUGGUGAGCUAGAGUGCGGUAGGGGUAAGGGGAAUUCCCAGUGUAGCGGUGAAAUGCGUAGAGAUUGGGAAGAACAUCGGUGGCGAAAGCGCCUUACGGGGCCUGCACUGACACUGAGGGACGAAAGCUAGGGGAGCGAAAGGG
This 253-nucleotide ribosomal RNA is filed under the name uncultured bacterium. Its description in RNAcentral is "partial 16S ribosomal RNA". It matches the Rfam family "Bacterial small subunit ribosomal RNA", at positions 524 to 776 of the family's 1533-position model. The record is from RNAcentral.